This 331-nucleotide ribosomal RNA is filed under the name uncultured bacterium. RNAcentral's name for it is "bacterial SSU rRNA". It matches the Rfam family "Bacterial small subunit ribosomal RNA", at positions 568 to 898 of the family's 1533-position model. The record is from RNAcentral.
CGCGUAGGCGGCCCUGCAAGUCUGAUGUGAAAUCCCCCGGCUCAACCGGGGACUCGCGUCAGAAACUGCAAGGCUUGAGUGCAGGAGAGGAGAGCGGAAUUCCCAGUGUAGCGGUGAAAUGCGUAGAUAUUGGGAGGAACACCGGUGGCGAAGGCGGCUCUCUGGACUGCCACUGACGCUGAGGCGCGAAAGCUAGGGGAGCAAACGGGAUUAGAUACCCCGGUAGUCCUAGCCGUAAACGUUGGGCACUAGGUGUGGGAGGUAUCGACCCCUUCCGUGCCGCAGCUAACGCAUUAAGUGCCCCGCUGGGGAGUACGGCCGCAAGGUUGAA